ACAUACGGCCACAGCCGCUAGCAGAGCUCGGGAUCCCGUCCGAUCUCCCAUGAGAACCUAGUGAGCGCUAGAUUAGUAGCUAGGUCGGUGACGACUAGCGAAUACCUGGUGUUGUAUGUC
RNAcentral lists this ribosomal RNA (120 nucleotides) under Metarhizium acridum CQMa 102. Lineage: Eukaryota; Fungi; Ascomycota; Sordariomycetes; Hypocreales; Clavicipitaceae. The record is from RNAcentral.